GAUGAACGCUGGCGGCGUGCCUAAUACAUGCAAGUCGAGCGAACAGACGAGGAGCUUGCUCCUCUGACGUUAGCGGCGGACGGGUGAGUAACACGUGGAUAACCUACCUAUAAGACUGGGAUAACUUCGGGAAACCGGAGCUAAUACCGGAUAAUAUAUUGAACCGCAUGGUUCAAUAGUGAAAGACGGUUUUGCUGUCACUUAUAGAUGGAUCCGCGCCGCAUUAGCUAGUUGGUAAGGUAACGGCUUACCAAGGCAACGAUGCGUAGCCGACCUGAGAGGGUGAUCGGCCACCCGGGAACUGAGACACGGUCCAGACUCCUACGGGAGGCAGCAGUAGGGAAUCUUCCGCAAUGGACGAAAGCCUAACGGAGCAACGCCGCGUGAGUGAUGAAGGUCUUCGGAUCGUAAAACUCUGUUAUUAGGGAAGAACAAAUGUGUAAGUAACUAUGCACGUCUUGACGGUACCUAAUCAGAAAGCCACGGCUAACUACGUG
This 497-nucleotide ribosomal RNA is filed under the name uncultured bacterium. Its description in RNAcentral is "partial 16S ribosomal RNA". It matches the Rfam family "Bacterial small subunit ribosomal RNA", at positions 28 to 507 of the family's 1533-position model. The record is from RNAcentral.